Molecule: ribosomal RNA, 1116 nt
Filed under: uncultured Arthrospira sp.
Lineage: Bacteria; Bacillati; Cyanobacteriota; Cyanophyceae; Oscillatoriales; Microcoleaceae
Description: bacterial SSU rRNA
Rfam family: Bacterial small subunit ribosomal RNA
Source: RNAcentral
UCGGAGGCAGCAUGGGAAUUUCGCAAUGGGCAUCUGACGAGCAGACGCGUGCGGGAGGACGCUUGGGUUGUAAACGCUUUGUCAGGGAAGAAAAUGACGUACUGACGAUCAGCUCGGCUAACUCCGUGCCAGCAGCGCGGUAAUACGGAGGAGGCAAGCGUUAUCCGGAAUGAUUGGGCGUAAAGCGUCGUAGGUGGUUGACCAAGUCAGCUGUCAAAGCGUGGGGCUUAACUCAUAAGGGCGGUGAAACUGGUGAGCUAGAGUGCGGUAGGGGUCAGAGGAAUUCCCAGUGUAGCGGUGAAAUGCGUAGAGAUUGGGAAGAACACCGGCGGCGAAAGCGUCUGACUGGGUUGCACUGACACUGAGGGACGAAAGCUAGGGGAGCGAAAGGGAUUAGAUACCCCCUGUAGUCCUAGCUGUAAACGAUGGGUACUAGGUGUUGUCCGUAUCGACCCGGGCAGUGCCGUAGCUAACGCGUUAAGUACCCCGCCUGGGGAGUACGCACGCAAGUGUGAAACUCAAAGGAAUUGACGGGGGCCCGCACAAGCGGUGGAGUAUGUGGUUUAAUUCGAUGCAACGCGAAGAACCUUACCAGGGCUUGACAUGUCCGGGAUCUUCUUGAGAGGGGAGAGUGCCUUCGGGAACCGGAACACAGGUGCUGCAUGGCUGUCGUCAGCUCGUGUCGUGAGAUGUUGGGUUAAGUCCCGCAACGAGCGCAACCCUCGUCAUUAGUUGCCAGCAUUAAGUUGGGCACUCUAACGAGACUGCCGGUGACAAACCGGAGGAAGGUGGGGAUGACGUCAAGUCAGCAUGGCCCUUACGUCCUGGGCUACACACGUACUACAAUGCGGUGGACAGAGGGUAGCGAGCACGCGAGUGUCAGCCAAUCCCGUAAACCACGGCUCAGUUCAGAUUGCAGGCUGCAACUCGCCUGCAUGAAGGCGGAAUCGCUAGUAAUCGCCGGUCAGCAUACGGCGGUGAAUACGUUCCCGGGCCUUGUACACACCGCCCGUCACACCAUGGGAGUUGGUUUUGCCCGAAGUCGUUACUCCAACCUGCGAAGGAGGAGGAUGCCGAAGGCAGGGCUGAUGACUGGGGUGAAGUCGUAACAAGGUA